GAUGAACGCUGACAGAAUGCUUAACACAUGCAAGUCAACUUGAAUUUGGGUUUUUACCUUAGGUUUGGGUGGCGGACGGGUGAGUAACGCGUAAAGAACUUGCCUCACGGCUAGGGACAACAUUUGGAAACGAAUGCUAAUACCUAAUAUUAUGAUAAUAGGGCAUCCUAUAAUUAUGAAAGCUAUAAGCGCUGUGAGAGAGCUUUGCGUCCCAUUAGCUAGUUGGAGAGGUAACGGCUCACCAAGGCGAUGAUGGGUAGCCGGCCUGAGAGGGUGAUCGGCCACAAGGGGACUGAGACACGGCCCUUACUCCUACGGGAGGCAGCAGUGGGGAAUAUUGGACAAUGGACCGAGAGUCUGAUCCAGCAAUUCUGUGUGCACGAUGAAGUUUUUCGGAAUGUAAAGUGCUUUCAGUUGGGAAGAAACAAAUGACGGUACCAACAGAAGAAGUGACGGCUAAAUACGUG
This 467-nucleotide ribosomal RNA is filed under the name uncultured bacterium. RNAcentral describes it as "partial 16S ribosomal RNA". It matches the Rfam family "Bacterial small subunit ribosomal RNA", at positions 28 to 507 of the family's 1533-position model. The record is from RNAcentral.